UGAGUUUGAUCAUGGCUCAGAUUGAACGCUGGCGGCAGGCCUAACACAUGCAAGUCGAGCGGUAACAGAAAGUAGCUUGCUACUUUGCUGACGAGCGGCGGACGGGUGAGUAAUGCCUGGGAAUUUGCCCAUUCGAGGGGGAUAACAGUUGGAAACGACUGCUAAUACCGCAUACGCCCUACGGGGGAAAGGAGGGGACCUUCGGGCCUUCCGCGAAUGGAUAAGCCCAGGUGGGAUUAGCUAGUAGGUGAGGUAAUGGCUCACCUAGGCGACGAUCCCUAGCUGUUCUGAGAGGAUGAUCAGCCACACUGGGACUGAGACACGGCCCAGACUCCUACGGGAGGCAGCAGUGGGGAAUAUUGCACAAUGGGCGAAAGCCUGAUGCAGCCAUGCCGCGUGUGUGAAGAAGGCCUUCGGGUUGUAAAGCACUUUCAGCGAGGAGGAAAGGUUACUGGCUAAUAUCCAGUAGCUGUGACGUACUCGCAGAAGAAGCACCGGCUAACUCCGUGCCAGCAGCCGCGGUAAUACGGAGGGUGCGAGCGUUAAUCGGAAUUACUGGGCGUAAAGCGUGCGCAGGCGGUUUGUUAAGCGAGAUGUG
Molecule: ribosomal RNA, 598 nt
Filed under: Shewanella corallii
Lineage: Bacteria; Pseudomonadati; Pseudomonadota; Gammaproteobacteria; Alteromonadales; Shewanellaceae
Description: bacterial SSU rRNA
Rfam family: Bacterial small subunit ribosomal RNA
Source: RNAcentral